UACGAAGGGUGCAAGCGUUACUCGGAAUUACUGGGCGUAAAGCGUGCGUAGGUGGUGAGUUAAGUCUGUCGUGAAAGCCCCGGGCUCAACCUGGGAAUGGCGAUGGAUACUGGCUCGCUAGAGUGCGGUAGAGGAGAGUGGAAUUCCCGGUGUAGCAGUGAAAUGCGCAGAUAUCAGGAGGAACACCGGUGGCGAAGGCGGGUCUCUGGGCCGUAACUGACGCUGAGGAGCGAAAGCGUGGGGAGCGAACAGG
This 253-nucleotide ribosomal RNA is filed under the name uncultured bacterium. RNAcentral describes it as "partial 16S ribosomal RNA". It matches the Rfam family "Bacterial small subunit ribosomal RNA", at positions 524 to 776 of the family's 1533-position model. The record is from RNAcentral.